AUUGAACGCUGGCGGCAGGCCUAACACAUGCAAGUCGAGCGGCAGCGGGAAAGUAGCUUGCUACUUUUGCCGGCGAGCGGCGGACGGGUGAGUAAUGCCUGGGGAUCUGCCCAAUCGAGGGGGAUAACUACUGGAAACGGUAGCUAAUACCGCAUACGCCCUACGGGGGAAAACAGGGGACCUUCGGGCCUUGCGCGAUUGGAUGAACCCAGGUGGGAUUAGCUAGUUGGUGAGGUAAUGGCUCACCAAGGCGACGAUCCCUAGCUGGUCUGAGAGGAUGAUCAGCCACACUGGAACUGAGACACGGUCCAGACUCCUACGGGAGGCAGCAGUGGGGAAUAUUGCACAAUGGGGGAAACCCUGAUGCAGCCAUGCCGCGUGUGUGAAGAAGGCCUCCGGGUUGUAAAGCACUUUCAGCGAGGAGGAAAGGUUGAUAGCUAAUAACUGCCAGCUGUGACGUUACUCGCAGAAGAAGCACCGGCUAACUCCGUGCCAGCCGCCGCCGUAA
This 508-nucleotide ribosomal RNA is filed under the name uncultured bacterium. Its description in RNAcentral is "partial 16S ribosomal RNA". It matches the Rfam family "Bacterial small subunit ribosomal RNA", at positions 30 to 523 of the family's 1533-position model. The record is from RNAcentral.